AGUGAACGCUGGCGGCAUGCUUUACACAUGCAAGUCGAACGGUAACAGGCCUUCGGGUGCUGACGAGUGGCGACCGGGGGAGGAAGGCAGCGGAACGUGCCCAGAGGUGGUGGAUAACGCAGCGAAAGCUGUGCUAAUACCGCCUGUGAUCUGAGGAUGAAAGCGGGGGACCAAGCAGCAAUGUUUGGCCUCGCGCCUCUGGAUCGGCCGAUGUCGGAUUAGGUAGUUGGUGGGGUAAAGGCCUACCAAGCCGACGAUCUGUAGCUGGUCUGAGAGGAUGACCAGGCACCAUGGGACUGGGGCAAGGCCCAGACUCCUAAGGGAGGCAGCAGGGGGGAAAUUUGGACAAUGGGCGGAAGCCCGGUCCAGGAAUUCCGCGGGCGGGAAGGAGGCCUUCGGGGUGGAAAACGCUUUUGUACGGAACGAAAAGGCUCCGGCUAAUACCUGGGGCUGAUGGCGGUAACGUAAGGAUAAGGCCCGGGUAACUACGUG
This 492-nucleotide ribosomal RNA is filed under the name uncultured bacterium. RNAcentral's name for it is "partial 16S ribosomal RNA". It matches the Rfam family "Bacterial small subunit ribosomal RNA", at positions 30 to 507 of the family's 1533-position model. The record is from RNAcentral.